GAUGAACGCUGGCGGCGUGCCUAAUACAUGCAAGUCGAGCGAACGGACGAGAAGCUUGCUUCUCUGAUGUUAGCGGCGGACGGGUGAGUAACACGUGGAUAACCUACCUAUAAGACUGGGAUAACUUCGGGAAACCGGAGCUAAUACCGGGUAAUAUUUUGAACCGCAUGAUUCAAAAGUGAAAGACGGUCUUGCUGUCACUUAUAGAUGGAUCCGCGCUGCAUUAGCUAGUUGGUAAGGUAACGGCUUACCAAGGCAACGAUGCAUAGCCGACCUGAGAGGGUGAUCGGCCACACUGGAACUGAGACACGGUCCAGACUCCUACGGGAGGCAGCAGUAGGGAAUCUUCCGCAAUGGGCGAAAGCCUGACGGGGCAACGCCGCGUGAGUGAUGAAGGUCUUCGGAUCGUAAAACUCUGUUAUUAGGGAAGAACAUAUGUGUAAGUAACUGUGCACAUCUUGACGGUACCUAAUCAGAAAGCCACGGCUAACUACGUG
Molecule: ribosomal RNA, 497 nt
Filed under: uncultured bacterium
Lineage: Bacteria
Description: partial 16S ribosomal RNA
Rfam family: Bacterial small subunit ribosomal RNA
Source: RNAcentral